UUGAUCCUGGCUCAGAACGAACGCUGGCGGCAGGCCUAACACAUGCAAGUCGAACGACACAGUGGCAGACGGGUGAGUAACGCGUGGGAACGUGCCCUUCACUACGGAAUAGCUCCGGGAAACUGGUGGUAAUACCGUAUACGCCCUUCGGGGGAAAGAUUUAUCGGUGAAGGAUCGGCCCGCGUUAGAUUAGAUAGUUGGUGGGGUAAUGGCCUACCAAGUCUGCGAUCUAUAGCUGGUCUGAGAGGAUGAUCAGCCACACUGGGACUGAGACACGGCCCAGACUCCUACGGGAGGCAGCAGUGGGGAAUCUUGCACANAUGGGCGAAAGCCUGAUGCAGCCAUGCCGCGUGAAUGAUGAAGGCCUUAGGGUUGUAAAAUUCUUUCAUCAGGGACGAUAAUGACGGUACCUGAAGAAGAAGCCCCGGCUAACUUCGUGCCAGCAGCCGCGGUAAUACGAAGGGGGCUAGCGUUGUUCGGAAUUACUGGGCGUAAAGCGCACGUAGGCGGACUUUUAAGUCUGGGGUGAAAGCCCGGAGCUCAACUCCGGAACCGCCUUGGAUACUGGGAGUCUUGAGGAUGGAAGAGGUAAGUGGAAUACCGAGUGUAGAGGUGAAAUUCGUAGAUAUUCGGUGGAACACCAGUGGCGAAGGCGACUUACUGGUCCAUUUCUGACGCUGAGGUGCGAAAGUGUGGGGAGCAAACAGGAUUAGAUACCCUGGUAGUCCACACCGUAAAACGAUGAGAGCUAGUUGUUGGCAGGGUUUACCUGUCGGUGACGCAGCUAACGCAUU
This 794-nucleotide ribosomal RNA is filed under the name uncultured organism. RNAcentral's name for it is "bacterial SSU rRNA". It matches the Rfam family "Bacterial small subunit ribosomal RNA", at positions 13 to 861 of the family's 1533-position model. The record is from RNAcentral.